AACGAACGCUGGCGGCAUGCCUAACACAUGCAAGUCGAACGAAGGCUUCGGCCUUAGUGGCAGACGGGUGAGUAUCACGUGGGAAUCUGCCCAUCAGUACGGAAUAACCACUGGAAACGGUGGCUAAUGCCGAAUACGCCCUCCGGGGGAAAGAUUUAUCGCUGAUGGAUGAGCCCGCGUCGGAUUAGCUUGUUGGUGGGGUAACGGCCUACCAAGGCGACGAUCCGUAGCUGGUCUGAGAGGACGAUCAGCCACACUGGGACUGAGACACGGCCCAG
RNAcentral lists this ribosomal RNA (278 nucleotides) under uncultured bacterium. RNAcentral describes it as "partial 16S ribosomal RNA". It matches the Rfam family "Bacterial small subunit ribosomal RNA", at positions 29 to 334 of the family's 1533-position model. The record is from RNAcentral.